UGUGGGCAUGGGAGGAGGAGUUGGUAGCGGAGUGUAGGAUCUUACUUGCUAAUGUUACUUUGCUGUCUAGUGUUUCAGAUCACUUGCAAUGGCACCCCGACAUUGUGGGGGGUUAUUCGGUGCGUUCAGGAUAUCAGUUGCUCACUACUCAGCCUUCCUCUUCGAUUGGGGGAUUAAUAGACUCUUAUUUGGCAUCCUCUGGUUCCCUAAAAGGUUUCUAUCUUAGCUUGGUGGUUGCUUCGUGACAAGUUGCCAAGAAAAAUCAACCUCCUUGACUGUGGUAUAAUAGAUGCUGAUGAUAUUUCUUGAGUGGCGGGUUGCGGUCACGUUGAAAGCGCUAACAUUUGUUUAUUAAUUGUGAAAUUUUCGGCUCUUUAUGGCAGCAAGUUCGUUUGUGGCUUGGCUUUUCAGGUGUUGAUCACCAUAGCCUCACCACUCAUUUUACCAACUAUUUAGGUGGCUCGAGGAGUCGUAGAUCAUUCCUUCUGUUACUGUGGCUUCUUUGUGUUUGGCUCAUAUGGAAAGAACGUAAUAAUAUAAUUUUUAAUAAUGUUUAUACUUCCAUUACGAGUCUUAUGGAAAAGGUAAAUUAGUUUAAUUCUUACGUGUGGUUAAGGGCUAAUAGUUCCUCUUUUGUGUAUGGUUGUCAGCAGUGGCGGUCAGACUCUUUGUUUUGUUUGGGUAUCGGUUGAUGCCUUAUUUUGUAUCUAUUUGACAUACUAUUUGUACUUUGAGUGAUCUCUUUAAUUCGCCUUAUGCUUAACAGGCGUCUUUGUUAUUGUGAAUAUAUACCAUUUUAGUUUC
Molecule: long non-coding RNA, 804 nt
Filed under: Medicago truncatula (barrel medic)
Lineage: Eukaryota; Viridiplantae; Streptophyta; Magnoliopsida; Fabales; Fabaceae
Description: lncRNA gene14200
Source: RNAcentral